GAUGAAGAACGUAGCGAAAUGCGAUAAGUAAUGUGAAUUGCAGAAUUCAGUGAAUCAUCGAAUCUUUGAACGCACAUUGCGCCCGCGAGUAUUCUCGCGGGCAUGCCUGUCCGAGUGUCAUUUCAACCCUCAGGGCCCGCCUGCUUGCAGGCGCGGCGCUGGUGUUGGGGAUCGGCUACCCUGCCGUCCCCCAAAUACAGUGGCGGUCUCGCUGCAGCCUCCCCUGCGUAGUAGCAACACUCGCAUGCGGAGCGCGGCGCGGCCACGCCGUAAAACCCCCGACUUUCUGAACGUUGACCUCGGAUCAGGUAGGAAUACCCGCUGAACUUAAGCAUAUCAAUAAGCGGAGGA
RNAcentral lists this unclassified non-coding RNA (351 nucleotides) under soil metagenome. RNAcentral describes it as "partial contains 5.8S ribosomal RNA, internal transcribed spacer 2, and large subunit ribosomal RNA". The stretch from base 1 to 120 matches the Rfam family "5.8S ribosomal RNA", at positions 35 to 154 of the family's 154-position model. The record is from RNAcentral.